AGUUGCGGCCCAUAUCUUGGUGAAAAUACGGUUUCCGUCCGGAUCAGCCAUAGUCAACCCAAAGCCCAGUUAGUAUUGUAUGGGAACCAUACGAGAAUCCUGGUGCUGCCAAU
Molecule: ribosomal RNA, 113 nt
Filed under: Yarrowia lipolytica
Lineage: Eukaryota; Fungi; Ascomycota; Dipodascomycetes; Dipodascales
Source: RNAcentral